UGCCUCUGGUUCCUUUGCAUUUGAACGAGAAAAUCUUUCGCCUUUUACUAAAGAUUUCCGUGCAAAGGAGCAAUUAUGAGUAUUCAACAAUUUUUGCAACCCCCUCGAAAGAGCGGGGU
This is a non-coding RNA of Heligmosomoides polygyrus, 119 nucleotides long. The record is from Rfam. Lineage: Eukaryota; Metazoa; Nematoda; Chromadorea; Rhabditida; Heligmosomidae.